UGAGGUGAAGCAAAAAACACAAACAGCUAUCUGACGCAAGGCAGAGAAGAAAAAAGGGGUUAGCUACACAAGCUAUCACAACGAGAACUAGUAAUCACAGAGAAGCCAAUAGAGUACAAUACCACGCGAGCUGGUGAAACAAUCUGGCGGCGAGGUGAAGCAGAGGGAAGUCUUUGUAGUAGAGAUCCUGAUGACCAACGAGCUGCACCUGGUGCCGCCUGGGAACAUGAACCUACCACACUCACACAGACAGGGGAGAGACACAUGAGGAUUAAACAGACAGGGAAUGACAAACAACACCACUGUAGGAGCCAAACACAAAUUGUUCCAGCAGGUGUCGCCUUCAGGUUAAGGUGAAACUAUAUAGGAAACUGCAGCCAUUGAAACAACAAGGAGGAACAACAACACAUCAUGUGGAUGGUUUCUGUCUACGAGUGUUUCUGAUUUCUUGAAGGACCUUAAAAUUCCAUCGUGGGGUGGAUGAGCGGUAGGGGAAGCAGGGACAGCGGAACGAGCACCACAAGGAUCAGCUUCCUCGCCCUCCACAGCUUCCUGAUCAGAUCCACCCUGGCUGCGGCCUCUAGCCUCAUGGGGGACCCGGAGCUCUGGAUCGGAUCGGCCACUACUCAGCAGAACCGGUUGUGAAAGUCAUGAACCGGCUGACGGGGAAAGUCUCUGAGAGCCAGCGAGCGCGGAGGGCUGGAGGAAGGUCUCCUUGGAGCGCGUAAAGUUCUGUCUCGGCUGUGCGCUUUUACGCACAGAAGGUGGACGGUGACCGGAUCUGAGUGCGUCUCUUAGAAAGGUGAGUCAACUCGGCUGAAGUUGCUUCUCCGAACCUGAGUUUAACUUCCCCCUCGUGUAACCUUCGUGCCAUGCACUUCAGAUGAAACCCCUCUGCUCCUGCUCUUUGUGUGUCUGAUGCUGUUCGGAGCAUCAGGUAAUUUAUUAGCCUUGUUAACGAACCACGA
Non-coding RNA from Labrus bergylta (ballan wrasse), 968 nucleotides. The record is from RefSeq and is a predicted model, not a curated record. Lineage: Eukaryota; Metazoa; Chordata; Actinopteri; Labriformes; Labridae.